Molecule: transfer RNA, 73 nt
Filed under: Ixodes scapularis (black-legged tick)
Lineage: Eukaryota; Metazoa; Arthropoda; Arachnida; Ixodida; Ixodidae
Description: tRNA-Thr
Rfam family: tRNA
About the family: Transfer RNA (tRNA) molecules are approximately 80 nucleotides in length. Their secondary structure includes four short double-helical elements and three loops (D, anti-codon, and T loops).
Source: RNAcentral
CCCUGGUUAGCUCAGUUGGUAGAGCACUCCACUGGUAAUGGAGAGGUCCCGGGUUCGAUACCCGGACCAGGCG